Sorex araneus (European shrew) is the source of this 165-nucleotide small nuclear RNA. Its record names the gene U2. It matches the Rfam family "U2 spliceosomal RNA". From Rfam's summary of the family: U2 is a small nuclear RNA (snRNA) component of the spliceosome (involved in pre-mRNA splicing). Complementary binding between U2 snRNA (in an area lying towards the 5' end but 3' to hairpin I) and the branchpoint sequence (BPS) of the intron results the bulging out of an unpaired adenosine, on the BPS, which initiates a nucleophilic attack at the intronic 5' splice site, thus starting the first of two transesterification reactions that mediate splicing. NCBI's taxonomy places the organism in Eukaryota, Metazoa, Chordata, Mammalia, Eulipotyphla, Soricidae. The record is from Ensembl.
AUCGCUUCUCGGCCUUUUGGCUAAGAUCAAGUGUAGUAUCUGUUCUUAUCAGUUUAAUGUCUCUUUUUUUUUUGGGGGGGGUUUGGGUCACACCUGGUGAUGCACAGGGGUUACUCCUGGCUCUGCACUCAGGAAUUACUCCUGGCGGUGCUCGGGGGACCAUAU